Molecule: long non-coding RNA, 1056 nt
Filed under: Linum usitatissimum (flax)
Lineage: Eukaryota; Viridiplantae; Streptophyta; Magnoliopsida; Malpighiales; Linaceae
Description: long non-coding RNA (LUSI_LNC007144)
Source: RNAcentral
UCGAAAAAUAACCUCUCUCUUCUAAGAAAAGAAAGACGAACAGUACUUUCUUCUUCCCGUUGAAAUUUCAGACGGCGGCGGGAACAACUACAGUAACAACUACUGCUCGUCGGAUUGCUUCCGUCCAGCUCGUCUUCGGGCUUCUUCCGUCCGGCUUGUCGUUGGACUUCUUCGUCGGACUUCCUCUAGUUACUUUGUCGUUGGACUUCUUCGUUCAGUUAAACAUCCUCAUUAAUUUGUAGGUUAUCUUCUAAUGUGUUCUUUUUCGACGAUUACGAUUUCGUCUUUUAGAGUUUUUUAUUACGUUAUUACAUCGUUUUAGUGUUUUCGAUUUCAGUAGGUUAUACGAUUUAACAGAAGCAAUGCAAUUUCUGUGUAUGUUCCUAAGCAAUGCAAUUUCUGGGUUUUCGAUUUAGGUUUCAGAUUCAUUUUUCAUAAAACUGCAGUUCCUGAUUUCAGUUUUAUGUUGCUGCAGUUGAUGAGUUUUUAUUCUAGAGUUCAAAUUCUUGCAGAUAGCAUUCUGAAUUGUUCUUUUUUGCUGGACUUGUAUUGCAUUAACUCCUUCCCUCAUACACUCUAUGCGAUUUAUGCCCCAAUGAUUCAUCACCAAUGAAAAGUUCUGCUCACUGCAGUAGGGAUCAGAUAAUGAAGCCUUGCAAUUCCUGUUAUGGAGCUGGAGAAGAAAUGAGCGAAGAGGGCUGUGAUGAUGUCUGGCUUGUAGGCUUCUAGCCAUAGAUUGUUUGGAAAUACAACCCACCAUGUUCUUCGUCUCUACAGGAGCUGGAGAAGAAAUGGGACGUUGAUAGUUUCUGGUCAUGCUAGUGUUGCUUCGUCUAUAUAUUUAUCAGUCUUUCUAUGGGACGUUGAUAAUCUGAUUAGUUUAUCGUGUUAUAAAAGGAGCACCCAAUUUAAGACAUUUUGUUGAAUUAGCUUCUGAAUUUGCGCUCUCUACUGUGCUAAUAAUCUGUUAGUGCUGAUUGAAGACUUUUACUUAUAGUAAGUCACUUUCCAGAGUGAAAAAAUGUGGAUACUGACUGUGUUUUGACGACGAUGCAG